CUAACCACGCUGUAAGCAUAGCUGUAUAUCGGGACCACGAGAACACGAUCGCAGACUGUCAUACAUGAUCAAGCAGAUAUGAACCCUAUGUGAACCAAAUCUGAGAGAGCAGCACAUCAGCACUGAGGAUAUAGAUUUUUUAGGAACGGGACUACCAGAGAAUAUUUCUACAAGAGACCCACCAGAAGAGGUGGCCGAAAAAGACAUCGGUCAAGGAAAAACCCGAAGACAGAAACAUGGGAAACUAACACCUGCCCUAUUCCAGGACAACAAGAGAAAGACUUAAAGAGCACUGAGACUGUGAAUUGGAUUUCUGGAGGAGAAGACUUCAUCUGUUCCAACAUUCAAGCUUUGUAAAUUGCUAUCAAUAUGUUUCGAAGUUUCUUUUGUGUUAUGAUGAACUAAAUAAACGCUG
Hyla sarda is the source of this 415-nucleotide long non-coding RNA. RefSeq lists it as uncharacterized. The record is from RefSeq and is a predicted model, not a curated record. The transcript has 3 exons. Lineage: Eukaryota; Metazoa; Chordata; Amphibia; Anura; Hylidae.